UACAAAAAUUAGGAUGGUGGCCAUGGAAGUUGGAAUCCACUAAGGAGUGUGUAGCAACCCACCUGCUGAA
This 70-nucleotide non-coding RNA is filed under the name Callithrix jacchus (white-tufted-ear marmoset). Its description in RNAcentral is "Eukaryotic large subunit ribosomal RNA". It matches the Rfam family "Eukaryotic large subunit ribosomal RNA", at positions 1232 to 1301 of the family's 3401-position model. The record is from Rfam by way of RNAcentral. Lineage: Eukaryota; Metazoa; Chordata; Mammalia; Primates; Cebidae.